UUGCUGGUGGCUAUGCAGAAUUGAGGAUCCCCCUGUGUCACUGCCUCAAUUCAUCUCUCCUUCAACAGCAUCUCUUAUGGGCCGCGUGGUGCUGAGUGCUGCAGAGAAAGAGGUGGUAUAUGGAACCAGGCUCUCAGGGUGCUGCUGGUCCCCCUCGACUCACUCUUACAAGAGGCCACGGCAGAGGCUGCUGGUGGCCUACUCCGUAUCCAUUCGCCCGGUCUUCCUUCCAGACAGAACCUUGGGUAAUGGCUCAGCUGCAAAACCACAUUUCCCAGACUCUCUUGCAGGUACGGGUGGACCAAUGAAAACUGAUCCCAGUUCCUCCUCCUUCCUGCCCACGUGGCUGGUCCUCCAGCCACCCCGUUGGACCAUGAGGUGACCUUGAGUAAAGUGGCCGCCUGCAAAGGAGAGUGGAAGCGGACAAGAUCCCACGGAAUCAGCAUACCAGCUCAGAUACUCAGUCAUUCCAUAAACAGCCUUCCCUGACUUCCCCAAGCUGGACCAGGACCCCUCCAGAAACCCGCAGGCCCCAGGCUCCUCCUUUCUCAGUGUGCCAGUGUCCGUCUCCUCCCCCGGUCCAUCUACCCCUUCAGGGCAGAGACGAAGUACUGGACCUUCUACAACCCCAUGUGAAGGCUCUCUGGCCGGAGGACUGCCUGCUCAGGACGUAGCACAAUGCCCGAACUUGCUGGCUUUUACGCUCUGAGAAUCAUGAUGUGCUUCCCUGCAAAUGGAUCGGUCACCCACCUUCUUUCCUGGGCACACACACUCUCCCCUCUGAGCCCCACAGUGGCCCCCCCUGGGGCUUCCCAUCCAGCGUGGAACCCAAUGUGGGGCUUGAAUUCAUGACCCUGAGAUCAAGACCUGAGCUGAGAUCAAGAGUCAGAUGCUUAACCGACAGAGCCACCCAGGCGCCCCUCAAAUCACGUUUGAGAUGAGGUAAACUGAGGCACAGAAGGAGUGACGGAUUUAUCUGUGUCCCCGCGACUUGUUCGAUAGGACCCUGGCUCCCGGGACUCACAUUCCUCUGCUCCCUCCCAUCAUUCACUGACACCCUAAGUACUCAAACCAUCCCCAUUAUCUGGUCACUCGCUGCUGCAAAACCUUCUGUGGACCAGCCAAGCCCCCGCUGGUCUGCACUAUCCCCUUCCCUCAAACCUCCAGUCCCACCAUCACCAACUCCGCUGUCACAGACCAGUCAGACUGCCCAAAGAACACAAGCCACGCUCACAUGUCACCAUCUCUGAGAACAUCUUGCCCAUUUCUUUCUGAACAGGCGCUGCCUCUUCCAGGAAGCCUUCCCUGACUGCUCUCAUUGAGUUCUUUCCAGAGCUCUCACACCCGGCCACAUGAGGUGACUCCGAACAGACCUGCCUGUGCUUCGUCUGUAAAUUGCUUAACCGUAUUAGUCCCUAGAGCAGGGAACACAUCUUCCCACCAGCUCGAUGUACCAGGGCAAAAAGAAAAGACUCAAUAUCCCAAUCCAACAGAACACCAGUGGUGGAGAAGUUACCUCCGCAACAUCAACAUGUUCAGAAAUAGCUAUUUACGAGUUCAACUUUGUAAACGUUCUUACCCCCAACACCGCCAUAUCGCAGGAGUACUGGAUGUCCACCCUGUCCGACUGGCCUCCAAAUGGCACUGUUCCUGUUUCCCUGGACACCCUGACUGCCCCAACCAUCCUUGCCUCUGUAUCACAAAGCUAAUGAUUCUUUUUUUUUUUAAUGUUUAUUUAUUUUUGAGAGAGAGAGAAUGAGAGACAGAGUGCGAGCAGGGGAGGGGCACAGAGAGGGAGUCACAGAAUCUGAAGCAGGCUCCAGGCUCUGAGUUGUCAGCACGGAGCCCGAAACGGGGAUGCGGGGCUCGAACCCACGAACCGCGCGAUCAUGACCUGAACUGAAGUUGGACACUUAACUGACUAAGCCACUCAGGCACCCCCAAAGCUAAUGAUUCUCAAACCAAUGCCUACAUGAACUCCAGGUGUUACUAUUGGAAGAUUCCACGGGUCUUUCUUUAAAGAUGACCCCCUAUUAUAAGACUAGACAAUGAAGGCAAGAAUUUUUGUCUCUUUCGUUCACUGGCUGUAUUCCUUGCUCCUAGGAAAAAACAACACGAAACAAAACUCUGGUACAUAGAUGCUGCUCCAUAUUACUUAUUGAGUAUGUCUGUUGAAUAAAUGAGA
Long non-coding RNA from Acinonyx jubatus (cheetah), 2185 nucleotides. RefSeq lists it as uncharacterized. The transcript is spliced from 5 exons. The record is from RefSeq and is a predicted model, not a curated record. Lineage: Eukaryota; Metazoa; Chordata; Mammalia; Carnivora; Felidae.